Molecule: non-coding RNA, 2365 nt
Organism: Oncorhynchus mykiss (rainbow trout)
Lineage: Eukaryota; Metazoa; Chordata; Actinopteri; Salmoniformes; Salmonidae
Source: RefSeq, a predicted model, not a curated record
UAUAAACAAGUCAUUAAGCCAGCAUAUUAUGAAGUGAUGAAUCAUUUGUGCAUUUGGUUAGCUGUUGAGGGAAAUAAAUUGUAUACUCUCUAUUACAGCAUAGAUUUGUAUCUCAUAAAUCCUGAUUUCUUAUGUCUUGUGAUAAAAGAAGAUGCUGGUUGAGAUCUGCACCGUGGCUAUCUGCUGGGUCAUAACAGCAAGUUGUAGUCAGUGCAUAGAGCCUCGUGAGACAGGUACAAACUUCUCCAUCACAGUGACCCAAGACGUUACAGUAGAGGCUGGACGGUGCAUUCCUAUAUCAUGUAAAUUCACGUACCCAGGCAACAUUACUGAAUACGUACGAAGAGUCUGGUUCAAAGGAGAUGCACUUACGCCUGUAUUUGAAAAAGAUGCAGAGGUGUGCGGUGUUGUUUGGCAGUCCCUGAGAGGUCCUGAAAGGUCUUGCAGCUUUUUCCUCGAAGACCAACAAGAAGGAGAAAGCGAGUAUAGAUUCAAGUUAACAUGGGGAGGUGAUCAAAUGUAUGUCUUUCCUGAGAGGGUACGAGUCUCAGUGUCUGCUCUAACCCAGAAGAAGCCCACUGUGGAGACACCCCCUCUCACAGAGGGAGAGAGGGCCACACUGACCUGCAAAGUAUAUUCACUCAAACUAAAUGACCUCUGCCCGCAAAGACUGGAAGAAGAUUUUGUUGGAAUAGUCUGGAGAGGGACAGAGAACUUAGGCAUAUAUUUUGGGAUAAUGAAGCCAUCAACAGCAGAAAAUACAUUCAGUGUGAAUAAGUUGUAUUUCACUCCUAAAUCCGAACAUCACAACAUCAACCUCACAUGUAUGGGCAUCUACAAGAAGGCCAACAUUACUGUGGAGAAAACGGUGACUUUAACAGUAAAAUACCGUCCCAAGUUCCUGAAUGGCUCGGUGUGUGUGGUCCAGGCAGAGGUCCUGACCUGUGUGUGUGUCAGUCAGGGGGUUCCCUUACCAGUGAUUGCUUGGCCAAUGUUAGGGGUCUAUAUUAGUUACAGUGUCAUCGUCUCCAGGAGUGCCCAAACCGUGAACAGCACCAUCACCAUGUCUGCCUCAGAAUACAAGAACAGCAGCAUGGAGUGUGUCAGCAGAAAUGUAAUUGGCCAGACCGAGAUGGAAUUCCCCGUACUACACCAAGCUGAAGGGAGCCUGACACGUAAGUUCUUCAGUUGAACAUUCUAUAUAUCCCUGGGUCAGAGAAGAGGGAUGUUGCAGUCUUUCCCUGGAUAAUCGUUGGCUUGUCCCUCAGCCUUAAUGUGGCCCUCCUUGUCUAUCUGACCAGCGCUUGUAAAUGCAAAAAGGGUGGACAGAAGAGAGCUAAAGAAGAAGAUAGUACCUACAUCUCAUUGGACAAGGCAGACGUGUCUCCUGAAUAUGACAUCAUCUCCCCGAAUCCCCAUUGAUCCUCUGCUUGUGAUAAACUUCUACUUUAUUUUAGCGUUUGGUUCUGAGACUUGAUUUUGCUCUUUUAUUUAAAUUUCAAUUAUUUUCUAUUGCUAUACUUUUGUUGCUGUUGCUUGAGCCCUGAAAACAUUUUGACGUGAAUAAUGUCUCAGGAUUUAUGCACAAAAAAAUAACUAAAUUGUAACAGUUUUUCUGUAAAAGCACAUACGGAAGCUACAAGUUCGUGAUAUCUUCCUCAUGUUCAACUAUGUUAAUCAAAAUGGUAUGCAGAUAAUCAAGGUACCACAGUAUAGAACGCCGUUUGGGUCUUUCCGUGUCAAAAAAGAUACACAUCAAAUAACACUAUUUGACACAUUGAAUAAGCUUAUAAUUUGACAUGUCAAAUAAAACAGUUUAAUUGUAGAAUGUUGUGUUGGACCGCAACGUCUGGGCUAGCAGCUAGCUUUAGCUUAGUCCCUAGCAAGAGGUUGCCACAUGUUGUUCGCCUGUUGAAAUUGAACUUCAGUUCACGACAAGAAAUAGCUAGCCAGCUCCUAAACCCUGGUGCCCAAAGUUAACGUUAUAUACUGCCAGCUAGCUUCAUGAUGCUCGACCAGACCGGGUUAUGUGUUGUGAAGCUAGCCACAAUAAGGAGUAGGCAUAAUAGUGGAAUUUGCGAUUUGACUUCAAAAUAAAAUUCCUCUUUGACAGUGAUGCAGAAGGUAACAACUGGUGGAAUCAUGCCAUAUUUAGAUUAGAUCAUGUUAAACAAGGUUGGAAUGUGAAGCAAUGAAAUGGGGUAUCAGCCUACUCGGUGACACCCACAGAACACGACUGUGAAGAGUUUACUCAAAUAUUAGCGCUGUAGCUCUUAUUGCGGGACUGUGACUGUGAAAUCGCCUCCCCAGUCAGCCUAUUGUGUGUAUUGACAUUCAUAUUGUACUGUACAGCUUUACCUAAGGA